RNAcentral lists this ribosomal RNA (538 nucleotides) under uncultured bacterium. RNAcentral's name for it is "bacterial SSU rRNA". It matches the Rfam family "Bacterial small subunit ribosomal RNA", at positions 355 to 895 of the family's 1533-position model. The record is from RNAcentral.
UGAGGAAUAUUGGUCAAUGGACGGAAGUCUGAACCAGCCAAGUAGCGUGCAGGAUGACGGCCCUAUGGGUUGUAAACUGCUUUUGUAUGGGGAUAAAGUCAAUCACGUGUGAUUGUUUGCAGGUACCAUACGAAUAAGGACCGGCUAAUUCCGUGCCAGCAGCCGCGGUAAUACGGAAGGUUCGGGCGUUAUCCGGAUUUAUUGGGUUUAAAGGGAGCGUAGGCCGGAGAUUAAGUGUGUUGUGAAAUGUAGACGCUCAACGUCUGACUUGCAGCGCAUACUGGUUUCCUUGAGUACGCACAACGUUGGCGGAAUUCGUCGUGUAGCGGUGAAAUGCUUAGAUAUGACGAAGAACUCCGAUUGCGAAGGCAGCUGACGGGAGCGCAACUGACGCUGAAGCUCGAAGGUGCGGGUAUCGAACAGGAUUAGAUACCCUGGUAGUCCGCACAGUAAACGAUGGAUGCCCGCUGUUGGUACCUGGUAUCAGCGGCUAAGCGAAAGCAUUAAGCAUCCCACCUGGGGAGUACGCCGGCACGGU